RNAcentral lists this ribosomal RNA (564 nucleotides) under uncultured bacterium. RNAcentral's name for it is "bacterial SSU rRNA". It matches the Rfam family "Bacterial small subunit ribosomal RNA", at positions 151 to 746 of the family's 1533-position model. The record is from RNAcentral.
UGGAAACGGACGCUAAUACCGGAUAUUAUCGCAUGAUGAAAGCUAUAUGCGCUGCGAGAGAGCUUUGCGUCCCAUUAGUUAGUUGGUGAGGUAACGGCUCACCAAGACGAUGAUGGGUAGCCGGCCUGAGAGGGUGAACGGCCACAAGGGGACUGAGACACGGCCCUUACUCCUACGGGAGGCAGCAGUGGGGAAUAUUGGACAAUGGACCAAAGUCUGAUCCAGCAAUUCUGUGUGCACGAUGAAGUUUUUCGGAAUGUAAAGUGCUUUCAGUUGGGAAGAAGAAAGUGACGGUACCAACAGAAGAAGCGACGGCUAAAUACGUGCCAGCAGCCGCGGUAAUACGUAUGUCGCAAGCGUUAUCCGGAUUUAUUGGGCGUAAAGCGCGUCUAGGCGGUUUGGUAAGUCUGAUGUGAAAAUGCGGGGCUCAACUCCGUAUUGCGUUGGAAACUGUCAAACUAGAGUACUGGAGAGGUAGGCGGAACUACAAGUGUAGAGGUGAAAUUCGUAGAUAUUUGUAGGAAUGCCGAUGGGGAAGCCAGCCUACUGGACAGAUACUGACGC